Molecule: long non-coding RNA, 3004 nt
Organism: Mesocricetus auratus (golden hamster)
Lineage: Eukaryota; Metazoa; Chordata; Mammalia; Rodentia; Cricetidae
Exons: 5
Source: RefSeq, a predicted model, not a curated record
CGCCACCUCUUUGGUAUUGAUCUCUUCCAUCUGCCCUGAAUUACUUCCAUUGCUGACCUGCGAGCCGGUCACCGAAGUGUUGGGCUCCCGGGCUGUGCCCAGGAGCUGUCCGUGGCCCUGGGCAUUCAGGUCACUUGAGCCACAGUUCUGCUGAAACCACCUCUGUUGCCGCCAUUCCAUCCUGCCUCACUGCCCAGACUGUCUCACUGAACAUGGACCUCAGAAAUUAGACAAGAUCAGGUGUCAGCAAAGCUCCAGAGAUCCUCCUAUCUCCAUCUUUUAAGCUUUAAGAUUACAGAUGCUGUGAUCCACUAGACAUGGAUACUGGGAACUGAACUCAGGUCAUCUAGAAGAGGAGCCAGAGCUCUUAACCUCUGAGCAGUUGAUCCAGCCCCAGGACGUUCCUUCUUGUCAUCACUCCAGAGGUUUAUUAAGGAGACAGCAUAUGUGAAUUGCUAUGCAGCAGAAAUUUAUAUACAAGGAUGGAUUCUUCAGAACAUUUCUACAAUUUCCUUCAAGGAGUGAAAAAGUGAAUUAAGAAGCAAAAACUUAAAGUCUGAAUUAGUAUAGCAGCCCAGUUUUCUCUCCUGACAUUUCAGAUGUUUUACUUUUCUAAGACUAUAUAAUGUGUUAUAUGCAUGCACAUGUGUGCUGUCAAUCUGUGUUUGUGUGUGUGUUGUGCUAUGAAUGUUAAUGUGCAUAUAUUCGAGUGUGUGUUUGUAUAAUGUGUGUAUAUUAAGGUAUGUUGAUGUUCUUGAAUGUUAAUGACAUUUCUUCCCUUUUGUCUUUUGAAUUUGUAUUUAGUUUAUGACAUAUGGUAGUAUUUCAUUUUCAAAUUUAGCAUGUCCAAUUCUAUCAAUACUUUUUUGUGCUUUUAAAUAUUUAUUGUGUGUGAGUGCAUGUGUGUGUGUGUGCAUGCGUGUGUGCAUUCAGGCAUAUGGGCAUGUGCCUAUCUGUGUUCCAUGGCUGUCGAGUAGAGGUCAGAGUCAGUUCUCUCCUUUUAACCUGGGGGUCAUGGGGAUUAAAUGCAGGCUGUCGGGUUUGGUGGCAAGUGCCCUUACCAUCUGAGCCAUUUCAGUGGCCCUCUGGUAUUUUUAUCUAUCUGUAUGUCUGUCUGUCUAUCUAUCUAUCUAUCUAUCUAUCUAUCUAUCUAUCUAUUUGAUGCUUAGAAAUUCCUGAAAGCAAUUUUUAAAAAGAGUCCACAUUUAUGCUUUAUUCUUAUUUGUAAAAUAAACACUUUAAUCCAUCUAGAAGUCAUUUUAUCAUAGUGUAUGUGGUACUAAACAACCUAAUAUUUUUAUGUUUAUGAAUGCCUUUAUUACUUAUUGCAUAAAUUAAAAUAUAUCUUCUUAUGAAACAAUUACUUUUCCUAAGCCAAACACAAACUACAGAAAAAAACCCAUUUCUUUCCUAGCUGCUGCAGGCCAGAUGAGAUGGUGUGAGUUACUGGCCCUUCACCCUGGGGGAGUCUCAGAUCAUGGGCUGCUGCUGUAGUGCAGAGCUGGCCCAUUUCUUUCUUAAGAAAGAGGCAUUUUAUGUGGAUGCACUCACGGUCCUUAGGAAAGUCAGAGAGGCAACAAUCUUCUGUUGAUUGAAUUUUAACUUAAUUUAAUUUAAUUUCCUUGGCAAUCCCAGAUGGUGUCGUCCCAUUGCUAGAGGCUAAAAAGGGGCACUCUGCAAACGGAGGGAAAACAUACUGACUUACAACCAGAAACACAAGGCGUGGAAACAAAUGCUGUUUAUCAACAUGAGUCGAAGUGUGAGUUCUCUGAGAACCGUGUAGUUGUAGACAGGGCUCCGAAGGCUUUGUUCAAGUUUAGGCAAGUAAUGUCAUUCCCAAGGGCUAUCCCUGGGGUUAGGAUCUAGAAGGAAGAGUUCAAAAAACAUGAAAUGUACACCGUUCAGGAAAAACACCCAGAAUUUUCAUGAAUGAGAAAAAUCAAUACUAUUUAAAUCCUGGCUAAUUAGAAAUAGCAGAAAUGUUAGGGAAGUCUGGCAUUUUAACUGAAUCAUAGCAGGGACUGUCAAAUACCUUGGCUUUGUCAUUUGUUGUUUGGUUUUGUCACACUAGAGUAAUUAUUUAAAAAAGAUCACUCUUGAUGUUUGCUGUUUCUUGAGGUUGUCUGGUGAGACAGGGGUGAUGGUCACAAUGGCUCAGGACUAGGGUAUGAACUCCGUCUCUGGGAGAGUCAAAGAAUAGGGAUAGCCAAAUCAUCCCAGGGACCUCAGCCUCUAUAUGGAUUAUUUAUUCAUCCUGUUAAAGCCAUUUCCUGGAAUCAGUAGAGGAUCCCAAUGAAGACGGAGCCAAGAGGUGUCUGGCCAUGGCUAAGUCUGUCCAUACAGCAGAUGGGCAACAGAAGCAGCCAUCUCUUAGAGCUGGAAAUGAGUCAUUGCAUUCACUCCCUGCUGCGGCCAUCUUUCUGAACAUUCCCAGAAGCCAGGCUUGGGCCAUUUUCUGAUACAAGUGAUCCUAUGAGAUUCAAUUUCUGCAGUCUUUGUGGAUCCUAUGGAUGUUCAGAGCCAGAGUCAAUGGGAUACAAAGUCACCCUUGUUAGGUUUUUUUUUUUCAGUUUUGGCAAAUAAAUGGUAUACAUUCACAAAACAUUUAUGAAAACGCAACCCAGAUAACAAGAGGAUCUAAAAGUGGCUGUCAUACAUCCUCUCUUUUUAAUAGAAAACUGACUCUUGAAAACACUGAAAUUGUACCAUUUUCUAUACCCUCGUAAUAGGUCAGGUGCCAAAGCUUGAUGAACGAGAUAGAAUCACACAAUGGGAUCAAAGGGACAGCCAGCCCAGUUUAUUUCCAGAGAUCAAGCUUACCAGGACACAAAGAGAAAAACAGAACUUGGCUUGAAACCAAUUCUCCCCCCGAAGUACAAAUGCGAGGGCAGGAGUCCUGUCAGUGGCUGUCAUCAGCCUGUAGCCCUACCCUGCUCACCGAGACAGAGAUUAUUUGGUGGACUGGGGAAGUGUAAACCAUUCAUUGAAUUCUACACCCAAAUUA